RNAcentral lists this transfer RNA (85 nucleotides) under Promethearchaeota archaeon. RNAcentral's name for it is "Candidatus Lokiarchaeota archaeon tRNA-Ser". It matches the Rfam family "tRNA". From Rfam's summary of the family: Transfer RNA (tRNA) molecules are approximately 80 nucleotides in length. Their secondary structure includes four short double-helical elements and three loops (D, anti-codon, and T loops). The record is from RNAcentral. Lineage: Archaea; Promethearchaeati; Promethearchaeota.
GCAACGGUAGCGUAGCCUGGUAACGCGCUGGCUUGGAGAGCCAGUGUGCUCUGCACUCGGGGGUUCGAAGUUUCUAUCCAUUUCG